UCGAGAAUAUUUCGCAAUGGGCGAAAGCCUGACGAAGCGACGCCGUGUGAACGAUGAAGGCCUUCGGGUUGUAAAGUUCUGUUGCCUGAGAGCAAGAGUAUGAAGUUAAUAGCUUUGUACGAUGAGGGUAUCAGGAAAGAAAGCACCGGCUAAUUCCGUGCCAGCAGCUGCGGUAAUACGGAAGGUGCAAGCGUUAGUCGGAAUUACUGGGCGUAAAGGGUGCGUAGGCGGGAACGAACGUCAGACGUGAAAUUUCGGGGCUCAACCCCGAAGCUGCGUUUGAAACGGCGUUUCUUGAGGACGAGCGGAGAGAAUGGAAUUCCAUGUGUAGCGGUGAAAUGCGUAGAUAUAUGGAAGAACACCGGUGGCGAAAGCGAUUCUCUAGCUUAAUCCUGACGCUAAGGCACGAGAGCAAGGGGAGCAAACAGGAUUAGAUACCCAGGUAGUCCCUGAGCGGGCUGGCAAGGCGCAU
RNAcentral lists this ribosomal RNA (472 nucleotides) under uncultured bacterium. Its description in RNAcentral is "bacterial SSU rRNA". It matches the Rfam family "Bacterial small subunit ribosomal RNA", at positions 355 to 825 of the family's 1533-position model. The record is from RNAcentral.